CAGUCGCCGCGGGAACACGAAGGGGGCUAGCGUUGUUCGGAAUUACUGGGCGUAAAGGGCGCGUAGGCGGCCAUUCAAGUUAGAUGUGAAAGCCCUGGGCUCAACCUAGGAAUUGCAUUUGAUACUGUUUGGCUUGAGUUCGGGAGAGGUGAGUGGAAUUCCCAGUGUAGAGGUGAAAUUCGUAGAUAUUGGGAAGAACACCAGUGGCGAAGGCGGCUCACUGGACCGACACUGACGCUGAGGCGCGAAAGCGUGGGGAGCAAACAGGAUUAGAGACCCGUGUAGUCCCUGUCUCUUAUAC
RNAcentral lists this ribosomal RNA (301 nucleotides) under uncultured bacterium. RNAcentral describes it as "partial 16S ribosomal RNA". It matches the Rfam family "Bacterial small subunit ribosomal RNA", at positions 509 to 807 of the family's 1533-position model. The record is from RNAcentral.